UGCUCAGACCUGAAGCUUUCCAUGUUGUCAUGGCUGAACGGGUUCUGUCAUCGCCAGUGAACUGUCAGUGAGUUGGAGAACAUUUCAACUGUCGCAAGUCACUUGGAAUCUGAAGAAUUCUUUGCGUGCCAGUAUAAGUGCGUUUCAAAAGAACAAACGCUCCCUCUGCUGAUAUGGGUGUAAAAAUGCUGCAGUGCUUUCCUUUCUACAGACGCUGCAAGGAGAAGUGCAAAAGACAGUGCCCUCCUGAGACGGCAGUAGCAAGUGAAGAGGUGAAACCUCGGCUGUGUUCCACUACAUCCUGGGGCAGUGAAGGGGACAGCGGCAGCAGUCCGAGUUGUCCACAGGCCUAUUUUUCCCACAAGGCUCGGCUCUCACUGAGACAUCAGAUGGAUAGCAACAUCAACGCAGUGGACGCCACAUACUAACUUUGUCCGCAGGCGGUCUCUGGAGAAUCCUUGAAAGUAAACUUCGGAUUUACAGCCCCAGAGAGUUUUUGUGGGGAACUGGAGAAUGAGCCAUUAGGAACAAGCAGCAUGGAAGUUUGCCUCUCCUUGCAUGCCCAUGGACACUCAUGAGCGUCAGCUGUAUGCAUUGUAAUGACAAUGUCAAGAUAAGUGUCUGAAUUUCGGUACAGCAAUGAGUGUAAAAUGGUACAGCUGAGUGUAAUUUGGUGAAAGGGAUAUUUUGAAACACUCUUAAGAGUGAUGUUUACAUGAUAACCAGUAAGUGCUUUUUUCUAGCCUGUAGCAUUUGCCCUCCACAGCCUCUGCUAUACAUGCAUCUACAUUAUCUAAACUGGAUGCUGGUUUUAUCUGACACUGGCAUCUUAAUGCAAUUGGGUUUUUUGAGCCAGAUAUAAAUUCGUUCAGUAGGAUUUUUGAUGAAUAGACUACCUAAUAAAAAUCAACCACGCUUUGCUUUGCUGGUCAUAAAUUCAGCGAGUACUGUGAAGGCAACUUAAUGUUUUUUCUUUCACAUUAACAGAAAGGACGUUUUUAAAGCUUAUUUUGCUUUCUAUGCAAGUGCCAUUUUCUCUGUCCUGCAGCUGCAUAAAGGUCCAUUAACAGUGUCCACAACACAGCUCUAACUUGAAUUUCAUUUUUUAUUGUGUAUAGAUUUCAGGGCUUUUUGAAAUAUGCCCUGACCAUAAACUAAUUUUGCUUGAGGAGUGUAUUUGGAACAUUUUUUAAAAAAGAUGGUUGUUUCAUGGAAUUUAUGUAAGUUAAAUUUUACCAACUAAUAUAUUAAUAUGAAGAUGGCCCAGUUUCUAAAUCUUUGUAAGGUUUUCUUCUUAUUGUAUGUAUAAAAUCAGUCAAAAGAAUGUUUGUCAUGAUCCACUCAUUGCUUCUGUUACGACAUGUUUGAAAAAAACAGGUUUUACAUGCUAAUGAUGUGUAUCUGGACUUCUUCACUUUGUUGUGUGCACAUGUAUUAACAAAAGUGUUUUUUAAAUGUUAAAAGAGAAUUUUUACACUCUAACCCAGUAAAAGAACAGAUUUCACAAGACACUGUUACACCUUUGAAGUCACAAUAUGAAAGAGAAGAUAUUUUUGUAUGUUUUGUAUGCAACGUGUAAAUCAAUUUUAUAUGAAAGUAAAACAAACUAAAUCAUAUAGGAUUAAAACAGCACAUGUUCAGCUGCUUUCACUGAUGAUUGUAAUAAUAAUAAUAAAAAAACAAUAAAACUGUUUUUCAAAAA
This is a long non-coding RNA of Onychostoma macrolepis, 1702 nucleotides long. RefSeq lists it as uncharacterized. Lineage: Eukaryota; Metazoa; Chordata; Actinopteri; Cypriniformes; Cyprinidae. The record is from RefSeq and is a predicted model, not a curated record. The transcript is spliced from 3 exons.